This 73-nucleotide transfer RNA is filed under the name Deltaproteobacteria bacterium. RNAcentral's name for it is "tRNA-Thr". It matches the Rfam family "tRNA". From Rfam's summary of the family: Transfer RNA (tRNA) molecules are approximately 80 nucleotides in length. Their secondary structure includes four short double-helical elements and three loops (D, anti-codon, and T loops). RNAcentral also lists the same sequence under 1 other name. Lineage: Bacteria; Pseudomonadati; Myxococcota; Myxococcia. The record is from RNAcentral.
GCCGACGUAGCUCAGCCGGCAGAGCAAUCGCCUUGUAAGCGAUAGGUCAUGGGUUCGAAUCCCAUCGUCGGCU